GACUGCUAUCGGAUGAUACUAAGCCAUGCGAGUCUUUGUAGUAAUACAAGGCAUACGGCUCAGUAACACGUAGUCAACCUACCCUAUGGACAAGAAUAAUCUCGGGAAACUGGGCAUAAUUCUUGAUAGAUCAUAAUGCCUGGAAUGGUUUAUGGUUAAAAUGAUUCGUCGCCAUAGGAUGGGACUGCGGCCUAUCAGCUUGUUGGUGAGGUAAUGGCCCACCAAGGCGAUUACAGGUACGGGCUCUGAGAGGAGAAGCCCGGAGAUGGGUACUGAGACACGGACCCAGGCCCUAUGGGGCGCAGCAGGCGAGAAAACUUUGCAAUGUGCGAAAGCACGACAAGGUUAAUCCGAGUGAUUUCUGCUAAAGAAAUCUUUUGCAAGUCAUAAAACCACUAGUGAAUAAGGGGUGGGCAAGUUCUGGUGUCAGCCGCCGCGGUAAAACCAGCACCUCAAGUGGUCAGGAGGAUUAUUGGGCCUAAAGCAUCCGUAGCCGGCUCUGUAAGUUUUCGGUUAAAUCCAUGUGCUCAACGCAUGGGCUGCCGAAAAUACUGCAUAGCUAGGGAGUGGGAGAGGUAGACGGUACUCAGUAGGAAGGGGUAAAAUCCUUUGAUCUAUUGAUGACCACCUGUGGCGAAGGCGGUCUACCAGAACACGUUCGACGGUGAGGGAUGAAAGCUGGGGGAGCAAACCGGAUUAGAUACCCGGGUAGUCCCAGCUGUAAACGAUGCAGACUCGAUGAUGCAUUGGCAUAAUAGCCAGUGCAGUGUCGCAGGGAAGCCGUUAAGUCUGCCGCCUGGGAAGUACGUACGCAAGUAUGAAACUUAAAGGAAUUGGCGGGGAGCACCACAAGGG
RNAcentral lists this ribosomal RNA (855 nucleotides) under uncultured marine group I thaumarchaeote. RNAcentral's name for it is "SSU rRNA". It matches the Rfam family "Archaeal small subunit ribosomal RNA", at positions 25 to 887 of the family's 1478-position model. The record is from RNAcentral. Lineage: Archaea; Thermoproteati; Nitrososphaerota.